UUACACACACAUCAUAAUAAUGAUGAAUAACAUGAAGGGUUACUUUCACUCAUCCAAGCAAUUAAAUCAACAACUCAAAUCAUGCGGUUAUCACAACAAGUACCAAAUCAUGUGAAAAUGAGAAUCAAGAGGUCUUUCAAGGGUUGUAAUGUGGCUUAGGUUACAAGAAAGGAUAUGAUUAAGAGAAUCCAACCAAAUUGCCUAUCCUAAGGAAGCAUUCCCAAAUAUUCAACUCUACACAAUUUCCCUUUCUUUGAUCCCUAUCUUUUUCUUUUUCUUUUUCUUUUCAAAUCCACACAACCAUGAGCAUUUUCAUUGCUUUCCUUUUUUUUUUCUUUUUUUUUCUUUGCUCUAUGGUUUCAAGGGUGAUUUCUUUUUCUUGUUUCUUUUCAUAUUUUUACCCUUUCAUACAAACUCACUUU
This 422-nucleotide long non-coding RNA is filed under the name Lathyrus oleraceus (garden pea). Its description in RNAcentral is "Pisum sativum (pea) long non-coding RNA (PSAT_LNC040913)". The record is from RNAcentral. Lineage: Eukaryota; Viridiplantae; Streptophyta; Magnoliopsida; Fabales; Fabaceae.